AGAAGAACGUGACCAUCGACACAGCUGCACUGUGACGAGCGGAAAGUUACGGUCGCGGGAAAAUACAACAAAAGUGUCCUUCUGGCCACCACUGAAGCAGUUUUCGACAUCACCACGCUGAGAGAGACUUGGAUAGGAAUAAAAAUCCCUCAAGAAAGACAACUGACACACAGAAAAUUAAGGACAUGCAGUGCUACACAAAUCCAUCAAAAGAGGAACCCGGGUGUUUUGCAUUUGUCAGAUGGGAGGAUGGUUAUACCGGCAAAAUCUUUACAGAGCUGCCAUUUUGAAAAGGGAUGAGGCUCCAGUACAGCUGCAAGAUCUUCGACCAGGAGAUCCUGUUUUAGCAAAAUGGUCAGAUGGUGCUGAACCAUCAUUUGCCCUUGCAUGUUCCUAUUUGAUGCACUUUUUGAUCACUUUUUCCUGAUUGGAGUGUCAAAAUGCUAUCCCCUUCGGUCAUGCUGGCAUCAGCGCCCCAGAAAAGGGGGUCCUUGACCAGAAAAAAGUCACAGGAAUCAUGAGUACGCCAUUCCCAGAGAAUGAAUGAUACACCACUGAGACCAUGGGUUAUUUCUUCCUUAGAAGGAUCGGUUGAAUGUGCACACUGUGAUUGUAUGGCUGGACUUGGAGAGGUUUGCUGUCAUGUUGGGUCAUUGUUGUUCUGGGUGGAUGAGAACUACCGUGCCAACAAAGCUCUAACAGUGACCCAGAAGAAAGCUUACUGGCCAGUACCAUCCUAUGUUGACAAGGUGGCAUAUUCAGAGAUUCAGGACAUCGACUUUACAUCAACAGAGGUUAGGAAACGCGAGUUUGAAUGUACCCUGAUUGGAGCUCAAACACCAAAGCGAAUGCCCCUGAAGAUGCCGCUAGUCCCAGAGCCCACAGAGGAAGAGAUGUCUUGUUUUGCCAGGAAACUAUCGAAUACAGGAGUUAAGCCUGCAGUGCUGGCGGUUAUUUCAGAUCACCAGGAAAUCUACAUUCCAGAGAUUCUGAAAGAAGAAAAACUUCCCGUGAACAUAGAGGACAUGGAUAACUAUCAAAAAUGUUCUUGAGACGGUUGAUGCAGAAAUCUGAAAUCUAAAUGCAAGGUCCUGAAUGGGAAGGUUCAAUUUAAGGCGCAUUAGUGUCAUAAUUAGACGCUCAAACUGUCCAAGUUCACCAUUUCCACGAGGUUUAGGAAUGUACUGUUUAACAAAGUCAAAAAGAGUCAUUAGCACUAGAUAAUUUGGAAGACCAGUGUAGUAUUUUACUUUAUCAUUCUGAUUUUCAAAACACUUUUCAUUCAUUUUCAUACCAGCUAAUUGUCCUUUUAACAUGAUAUUCUCUGUAAUCAGCCUCUGGAGUUCACUCUUGGCAGCACUGCUACAACUCGCACAUGGUUGUGUAGGCUCUGGAUCAUUUUCUGCAGGUUCCUCCAAACUGCCAAGUAUCAUGAACUGACACACCUCUUUCGGAUCUUGUUCAAUGGGAGUGAAAUCUGCAUCCCCGUUACUGCUCAGCUCCAGCAAUGCUCUAGCAACAAGGUGCUUGUCCUUUGUGCGCUCUCUUUCUCUGACUCUCUCAUACCUGUAAGUACAUAAAAUAUUCGUUAUUGCACAUUUCCAUUUAAAAUAUAGUAUUCAAAAACACAGUGUUACUGGUCAGUGCUGAAAUAGAUAGACAAUCAUAAUGCCUUGGUAUGAAAUUGACUGCUGAUUUUCCUGUCAUGAUGUUGUCAUGUUUUCUCAAUAUGAUCUAUCUAUCUAUGAAGCCUAAUAAAUAUUGAUACAUCACAUACUUUUUGUAUGACGGACAAACCGGUGACUAUUAUGCUCUUGGGGGAAAAUGUUGUACUACU
This is an RNA transcript of Corythoichthys intestinalis (scribbled pipefish), 1837 nucleotides long. RefSeq lists it as uncharacterized. NCBI's taxonomy places the organism in Eukaryota, Metazoa, Chordata, Actinopteri, Syngnathiformes, Syngnathidae. The transcript has 6 exons. The record is from RefSeq and is a predicted model, not a curated record.